This is a non-coding RNA of Streptomyces rimosus subsp. rimosus ATCC 10970, 75 nucleotides long. NCBI's taxonomy places the organism in Bacteria, Bacillati, Actinomycetota, Actinomycetes, Kitasatosporales, Streptomycetaceae. The record is from Rfam.
CUUCAGCGAGCCGAGGAGCAGCGGCUGCCCCUCGGGCCGGUCCUGGCCGUAGGUGGCGAGCAGCGCCUGGGCCUC